Non-coding RNA from Acanthosepion pharaonis, 100 nucleotides. The record is from the annotation of a GenBank genome assembly. Lineage: Eukaryota; Metazoa; Mollusca; Cephalopoda; Sepiida; Sepiidae.
GAUCAUACCACAUUGAAACGCCGUUUCUCGUACGAGCACCGAAGUCAAGCCUAGUCAGUACCUAGAUGGGUGAUCGUUUGGGAAUACUAGGUGCUGUAAG